CAAGGGUUCUACGUAUUUACUACAUUAAAUCUCGUCCUUCAGUGUGCGGCCGCUGCCUGGAUGAGAGUAGCUUGCUGGCGCCACGUAUGCGUUUGGCAGCCACGCAUACAUCAUUUAGUGGCUGCUGGCCUUAAAGUGGCGGAUCAUUUUUCAUCCCCAAACCUAUAUUCUGCCUAUUUCUGCUGAUGGAAAGACUCGGUCGUUGGUCUCGUUUUAUAAUCUGGAGCCGUAUGUCUAUCCCAUGCAUGUUUAAAUCCCCUCACUGUAUUACCCUCUACCACUUCUGCUGGGCGGCUGUAGAAAGACUUACAGACCCAACGUUCAUAAUUUUCAAUCAACCAAGCAAACUUUCAGCAUAGCUUCCUUUAUUCUUAUCGGCCUAAUGCUACUAUAUGUACCGUCGCCUGCUUAUAAAUGAGCUUUCUAAAAUAAUUAGCCAAACACUAUAACUAAAUGAAGGAAAAUGCUUUGGUGUUGUGGCGCUGCGGAAAAAAAAAAAAGAAAA
Molecule: long non-coding RNA, 505 nt
Organism: Spea bombifrons (plains spadefoot toad)
Lineage: Eukaryota; Metazoa; Chordata; Amphibia; Anura; Pelobatidae
Exons: 2
Source: RefSeq, a predicted model, not a curated record